ACGGGAGGCAGCAGUGGGGGAUAUUGCACAAUGGGGGAAACCCUGAUGCAGCGACGCCGCGUGAGUGAUGAAGUAUUUCGGUAUGUAAAGCUCUAUCAGCAGGAAAGAUAAUGACGGUCCCUGACUAAGGAGCACCGGCUAAAUACGUGCCAGCAGCCGCGGUAAUACGUAUGGUGCAAGCGUUAUCCGGAUUUACUGGGUGUAAAGGGAGCGCAGACAGCAUGGCAAGCCAGAUGUGAAAGGCAGGGGCUCAACUCCUGGACUGCAUUUGGAACUGUCAAGCUAGAGUAUCGGAGAGGUAAGUGGAAUUCCUAGUGUAGCGGUGAAAUGCAUAGAUAUUAGGAGGAACACCAGUGGCGAAGGCGGCGUACUGGACGAUAACUGACGUUGAGGCUCGAAAGCGUGGGGAGCAAACAGGAUUAGAUACCCUGGUA
RNAcentral lists this ribosomal RNA (434 nucleotides) under uncultured Lachnospiraceae bacterium. RNAcentral's name for it is "partial 16S ribosomal RNA". It matches the Rfam family "Bacterial small subunit ribosomal RNA", at positions 341 to 792 of the family's 1533-position model. The record is from RNAcentral. Lineage: Bacteria; Bacillati; Bacillota; Clostridia; Lachnospirales; Lachnospiraceae.